This 518-nucleotide ribosomal RNA is filed under the name uncultured Glomus. RNAcentral describes it as "SSU rRNA". It matches the Rfam family "Eukaryotic small subunit ribosomal RNA", at positions 548 to 1072 of the family's 1831-position model. The record is from RNAcentral. Lineage: Eukaryota; Fungi; Glomeromycota; Glomeromycetes; Glomerales; Glomeraceae.
UUGGAGGGCAAGUCUGGUGCCAGCAGCCGCGGUAAUUCCAGCUCCAAUAGCGUAUAUUAAAGUUGUUGCAGUUAGAAAGCUCGUAGUUGAACUUCGGGAUCAAGGGAUCGGUCAUGCCUUGGUAUGUACUGGUCUUAUUGGUUCUCACCUCCUAAAGAACCAUAAUGUCAUUCAUUUGAUGUUAUGGGGAAUUAGGACUGUUACCUUGAAAAAUUAGAGUGUUUAAAGCAGGCUUACGCUUGAAUACAUUAGCAUGGAAUAAUGAAAUAGGACAUCCGAUUCUAUUUUGUUGGUUUCUAGGAUCGAUGUAAUGAUUAAUAGGGAUAGUUGGGGGCAUUAGUAUUCAAUUGUCAGAGGUGAAAUUCUUGGAUUUAUUGAAGACUAAUACUGCGAAAGCAUUUGCCAAGGAUGUUUUCAUUAAUCAAGAACGAAAGUUAGGGGAUCGAAGACGAUCAGAUACCGUCGUAGUCUUAACCAUAGACUAAUGCCGACUAGGGAUCGGAUGAUGUAAUUUUUAA